AGCGAACGCUGGCGGCAGGCUUAACACAUGCAAGUCGAACGCAUCCUUCGGGGUGAGUGGCAGACGGGUGAGUAACACGUGGGAACGUACCCUUCGAUCUGGGAUAACUUCGGGAAACUGGAGCUAAUACCGGAUACGCCCUUUUGGGGAAAGGUUUACUGUCGAAGGAUCGGCCCGCGUCUGAUUAGCUAGUUGGUGGGGUAACGGCCUACCAAGGCGACGAUCAGUAGCUGGUCUGAGAGGAUGAUCAGCCACACUGGGACUGAGACACGGCCCAGACUCCUACGGGAGGCAGCAGUGGGGAAUAUUGGACAAUGGGCGCAAGCCUGAUCCAGCCAUGCCGCGUGAGUGAUGAAGGCCUUAGGGUUGUAAAGCUCUUUUGUCCGGGACGAUAAUGACGGUACUGGAAGAAUAAGCCCCGGCUAACUUCGUG
This 433-nucleotide ribosomal RNA is filed under the name uncultured bacterium. Its description in RNAcentral is "partial 16S ribosomal RNA". It matches the Rfam family "Bacterial small subunit ribosomal RNA", at positions 29 to 507 of the family's 1533-position model. The record is from RNAcentral.